RNAcentral lists this long non-coding RNA (3872 nucleotides) under Musa acuminata (dwarf banana). Its description in RNAcentral is "long non-coding RNA (MACU_LNC000257)". Lineage: Eukaryota; Viridiplantae; Streptophyta; Magnoliopsida; Zingiberales; Musaceae. The record is from RNAcentral.
UUCCUCCUCUGUUGCCGCCUUCCUCCGCCUCGGGGAAGGUCUCCGACGCGCUUCACACUGUAAGUCUCCGUCCUUCUCCCGUUCCGCCUCUCUGUCGCAAGGAAAUAAGCCCUGAUCGUUGUUUCGAUUGCGUCAAAAAUGUUCUUUUACCUCAUCUAAUUCCAUACCUGGGUUUGGCUGUUCGAGAGUCGUUCUUCUUCUGUUGCGUUCUCUGGUAUUGUAGCUUUUCAUUUAUCUGAAAACUGUGGAUUUUAGUUGAUGGUUUAGGAGCUGACAUGCUACCGCUGUGGAUUUUAGAUAUGUGUUGAUUGUGAAAAGAGAGUUUUUUUCCUCUUUGAAGGCAUACUAGUCUAAUAAUCCCUGAUUUGAACUGGUUGAACGUAUCAAUGUAUUUGGUUUUCACUUGAUUGCUCGAUCGGAAUGAUGAAUAAAAAGCAAAGAGUGAAAUUUUCGAGAUUUCUUGUGCUUAAUUCGUUACUUUCUGAACCGUGUUCUGAUUAUGAUGUAAAUCGAGGCCAAGAGUUGUGGCCUGAGAAUAACGUUUAUUUGCUGGUACAGGGUUUGGAGCCCAAGGCUGCCAAUUUUGAACGUUCAAUAUAGAUUUAGAAUGCAACUGCAAUCAUAUAAGAUCGAAUAUGGAUCUGAUCGAGCAAUAUAAAUUGUAUCGGCAGACCUUUAACAAAUAACUCCAAGUGUAACUGCAAACCUAGAACAUAUGCCUUCUGUCCAUUAUGCCAGCUUUUUCUAAGUGAGAAUAAUUAAGAUUUGCUUAGAUGUAAGGUUGUUAAGAUAUCAGGGCUUGGUGCUGCUUAUAUGUGAGUAUCAAUCACUACAUGAAAAAAGAUGAGAAAAGGUUUAAUUUUAAGGGAUCAAUAGCUACUUGAGCAAGAUUAGAGGGUAUAAGAAAAAGAAUAUGGUUUAGAGUAGGAGAUGAAUUGCUUAGAAAAGUUCAGUGCUGGAUUUGUGAGAUGGGGCAGCAAUAGAGGCUGGUUGGAGUGGAACUUUGAACAUUGGUAGGCAACAAGAGGCUGCUGGUGAAUUAGGAGCGCUUUAUGUGUGUCACUUUAGCUUUUUGUUGGAAAGCGAAUGUAUAAUAGGAUCUAGAAAUAGUAAAGUUGCUUUGUGCAAACAGUUGAACCAACUAUGAUUUGAACCAGUUCAUGAGUUAAUAUAAACAUUCAAUAGAACUAUCAGAGAAGUAUCCGUUUGAAUGCUCUAACCUGAGCCUUGUGAGAGAAAAUUGUUUAAUCCUAAAUUUGGAGAAAAAAUCUAUAUAUAAUUAUUUUAUUUUGAUUUGGACAGGAUCAUUUUAAAUAGUUGAGAUGAACAUUUUCCACUCCUAAGAUGGAGUGGCCUUGUUGCUACUAAUCUAGAUACAAAAUUAAAUGAUUGUCAUCAAAUUUUUUCCGAAGUUAAUAACAAUUGAUAGUUCGUACAGUACAUCAUUUAGAAAAUAGAUUGCCUGGACAUAAUGGGUUUUGGAGUUGGGUUUAAUUAUUUCUUUGACUUAUUUGUGCUGCAAAGAAUAAAGUUGCUCUCUGUAGCUAAGGUUUCUUUUAUUCUUCCUAGUCUCUUUUAAGUCCAGGUGAACCUUGAAUCUUUCCUGGUUGUAUUAGCAUUUAGUUAGGUUUUAAAGCAAAUCUGUCUCUUGUUUAUAAUUCCAAGAUGUUAGAAAGCAACCAUCCUAGAACGGGUGAUCUUGUUUUGGACCAGGUUGAUCCAGCCAAGAAAACCCUGCUUUUUAAGGGAUGAUCCUCACAAAGUAUUAACCAGGAUUGGUCACACUCGUCUUGGAGCUCUAGAGGCUGAUCCUAGCUACUUUGCUGAUCCCAACCUAUUCUAAUGGAUUUUGGUAGAUUUAGCUGAUUGUCAACCUUUUUUAUCUUGAAUUGUGCUUUAGGAAAAGUUAAUAUGGUUGGGAGAGAUUUGAUGAUGCUUGCAGGCAUAGGCUGUCUAACACAUCGAAACUGUUAAAAUGACAUGACCUUGCCUUAAUGGUGGAUGUGGCUGUUAACAGAUCUAUUUGGUGAAAGGUCCAACACUAAAUACUUGUGUUAGAUUUUAGAAUGACUCUGCUUCAAAGCCACUAAUCAAGAUUCAACCCAGAACAGUUGUGCAGAUAUAUGAUGAAGCACCUAUCCUUAUAAAUUGUAAUGUCUUUAAAUCUAGAGAUGUGGCCGAGUUUUCAAUAGUUCAAGGAGACAAAAAGAAACAAAGUAACUAAGGAGUCAGUAUAAACAUAAUUUGUCAUGAUUUAUGCAUUAUUAUCUUUUAAUACUUUGAGAUGUGAAAUUUUGUAAGAUAAACUUAUGAGAAAUUUUGAGCAUUAAUAAGGACCACAUAGAUUCUCCAUGCUCAAUGCCCAUCAUCAUAGAUAUCGAUAAGUUUUUGACUCAAGUAUAUCUUGAACCUUUCUCAGUUAGGACCUGGCUAAUUGCCUUUGUAACAAAGUUUUGCUUUAGAUGGAAACUUAAUAUAAAUUUGAAGUUUUCAUACAUUAUCAUAUUCAAUUCACCAUCAUAUGCAUUUCGGAAGUUACUUUUUUUGUUAGUUAAGGUAGAUACUUUAGAUAAUCCAAAUGAAUGUUCUUUUUAUUUUUUCUAAGGAAAAACUUCAUAUAUAAGUUGAACUUGAAGAGAUUGGAAGAAUGAUUAUAAAUCUGCAAUUGACGGUAAUCUAAGAGCAAUAGUGUCCAGCCACAUUUUAAAAUAAGAUCUAUCUUUUUUUGUAGGUUAGGUUAGUGCAUGAAGGCGUAUAUAGUGUGUUGAUGCCAUCAACCAUCAAUAGUGAGUAACAUGCACUUUCUUUAAAUUGCUGUCAUCAUGUUGUUUUCUGUUGUGAGAAUUGUGUAUGCCACGAGUGUGAGAGAACUUCAACCAACAGUCAUUAUGUUUCAUCUGUCAAGAGUUAGAAAAGAUGAAUUUACAAUCAGCUGUCAACCUUGCAUUGGCUCUCUUUGUUGAUUCCAAGAUUUUGGUCAAUACAAGUUUUAUGUAAAAUCUGGAUGUCUAUAAGAAUCUAAAAGCCUGUUUACUGCUAAAAAAUAUAUACUUUAAGUUGAAAAUUUAGCUUGUCCAGUUGGGCCCUAUGGAGCAAGACUCCAAACUCUCAGGAGCUGGUUAGACUCCCAAAGAAGGGAAAGAUGUGGAUCAAUAUUGGUCUCAAAGACACAAGCCUACGAACUUAUGAAAGAACUCGAAAGAUAUACCUUAAUUGCAUGAGUGUUAGAAGUCUUUAUUUUGCUUUAGCAUCCAGUUAGAGGUUCUGUAACCACUGCCUUUGGAAUACUGGAUCUUGAAUACCAAAAUGUGACAUUUAUUCAAUAAACCCUUGUCCUUGUGCAUUACUAUAUAACAAUCUGUUGAAAGUCAUUUCAGAACAAAUAGCAAAUACUUAGCGUGAAACUUGUUUCCAUCAUCCUGUUAUUGUCUUGUGCUAUGAAAGGAAUAUUUGAAAGUUUAAGAGAAUAUAUUAUUAUAUUUAAAGGUAGGUUCUAAUUGACUGUUUUCUUCCCAGGUUGGGCUAGUAGAGGUCGAUGAUGAAUACGAAGAAGAGGUUGCUUCAGAGUGCACAAAUUAUGGCACUCACUUGUGUCUUGAUAUUUGAUCACCAAGCCCAAAGUGCAGAUGAAGCAGUCAGGAUCUUUACGGAAUUUUGGAGAUCAGAAAGGCUAGAAGACUGAAAUUGUGACCUUUUGACUGGCUUACUUCCUCAAGGAAAACAGCUAACAGACGAACUUUUACCUCUCAUGGUCCUCUUUUUCACCGGUAUUGAACUGCAACUGCUAGUGAUGGGAUGGACAAAUAACUCCUCCCUGUCAGAUUGGUUCAAGGAGGAUGAUCUACAGCCUAGGUGUCCCCACCUAAGAAGAG